This 274-nucleotide unclassified non-coding RNA is filed under the name uncultured fungus. Its description in RNAcentral is "sequence contains ITS1, 5.8S rRNA gene". The stretch from base 226 to 274 matches the Rfam family "5.8S ribosomal RNA", at positions 1 to 49 of the family's 154-position model. Lineage: Eukaryota; Fungi. The record is from RNAcentral.
UUUCCGUAGGUGAACCUGCGGAAGGAUCAUUAUCGAAUGCAAUUAGAGUUGGUUGUCGCUGGCGCACUUCGUUGGGCGCAUGUGCACGCCUUCUCUAUUUCAUCCACACACACUUGUGCACCUGUGAGACGGACUGACCCCCUCGGGGCGACGGUCCGCCUAUUAUACAUAAACUCUAAUAAAUAUAAAUCUGAAUGUCAUUUGAUGUAAACGCAUCUUUAAACUAAGUUUCAACAACGGAUCUCUUGGCUCUCGCAUCGAUGAAGAACGCAGC